GCGCCCGUAGCUCAGCUGGAUAGAGUAGCGGUUUCCGAUACCGUUGGUCGGAGGUUCGAAUCCUCUCGGGCGUGCCA
Molecule: transfer RNA, 77 nt
Filed under: Nitrospinota bacterium
Lineage: Bacteria; Pseudomonadati; Nitrospinota
Description: tRNA-Arg
Rfam family: tRNA
About the family: Transfer RNA (tRNA) molecules are approximately 80 nucleotides in length. Their secondary structure includes four short double-helical elements and three loops (D, anti-codon, and T loops).
Source: RNAcentral